This 966-nucleotide ribosomal RNA is filed under the name Triticum aestivum (bread wheat). RNAcentral's name for it is "partial small subunit ribosomal RNA". The record is from RNAcentral. Lineage: Eukaryota; Viridiplantae; Streptophyta; Magnoliopsida; Poales; Poaceae.
AUGGCCGGGUCCUUCGUCCUGAACACCGGCGCAAGGAUCCCAUCGAUCGGCCUCGGCACAUGGCAGAUAGAACCUGAUGUUGUUGGCGACGCCAUCUACGCUGCUGUCAAGGCUGGAUAUCGGCAUAUUGAUUGUGCUCCAGCAUACCACAAUCAGAAACAGGUUGGUUUGGCUUUAAAGACAUUGUUUGAGGAUGGUGUGGUUAAGCGUGAAGAUUUGUUUGUCACCUCUAAACUAUGGUUUGGUGAUCAUGCACCUGAAGAUGUGCCGGAGGCAAUUGACACUACUCUUAAAGAUUUGCAGCUUGACUUCUUAGAUUUGUUCCUCGUUCAUGGUCCAGUCCGGAUCAAGAAAGGAACUACGCUGAGCCCUGAAAAUUUGCUUCCACCGGAUAUCACUGCUACAUGGGGAGCGAUGGAGAAACUAUACGCCUCCGGCAAGGCCCGAGCAAUCGGUGUCAGUAACUUUGCUUGCAAGAAGAUGGAUGACUUGCUUGCCGUCGCACGCGUGCCUCCAGCAGUCAACCAGGUUGAGUGUCAUCCGAUUUGGCAGCAAGACAAGCUCCGCAAACUAUGCCAGUCGAGGGGUGUUCAUCUUUCUGCAUAUUCACCAUUAGGUUCACCUGGAUCACCUCUAUCUGUGGUCAGUGGUGCUAGUGUCCUUAACAAUCCUAUUGUCACCUCUGUUGCCGAGAAGUUGCAGAAAACGCCUGCACAGGUCGCCCUACGCUGGGGUCUUCAAAUGGGCCAGAGUGUACUUCCAAAAAGCACCGAUGAAGCAAUGAUUAAGGAGAACUUUGACAUAUUUGAUUGGUCCAUUCCCGAAGAUUUGAUGGCCAAGUUCUCCGAAAUCAAACAGGAAAGGUUGCUGAAAGCGGAAUUCGCAGUCCACCCUCUAAGCAUUUACAAAACCUUGGAGGAUCUUUGGGAUGGAGAAAUUCAAAGCACAUCAACUUCUCUAGAAUGA